This 486-nucleotide ribosomal RNA is filed under the name Triticum aestivum (bread wheat). RNAcentral describes it as "partial small subunit ribosomal RNA". The record is from RNAcentral. Lineage: Eukaryota; Viridiplantae; Streptophyta; Magnoliopsida; Poales; Poaceae.
AUGUUUGGAGAUGGGCUUACUGAUGAGCAACUUUACCAACAACAAGUUCAGAAUUGGCUUAUUCAAAAUGGUGUGGGCAAUGAUCAGGCACCUCAUAAUGCUCCUCGGCAGGAUGGACCUCAGAAUGCUCAAUGGAAUCCUUGGCCACAGCCACCUGUUCCUCAAAUGCCUGCUACUCUAGUGAACUUUCAGGCUUGGCUUGCUGCUCAAGGCCUUCAGGUGCAAGAUGGAAUUCUUCCUGAGGAUAACUUUUUUGACAGUCUGAACUCUGCUUGGCUGGAAUCAAUCUCAAAUGUAAGCUCUCAGGGUUCCUCUUCCAUGACUGCUAUGCAGACCAGUACUUUGCUUGUAGCCCCCCUGCACCUCAAAACAUCAUCAAUGUGGAUGUGGCAAUCACUGCUGGAUCACUUCAGAUCAAUUCUAUCUGAUGUUGCUGCUUAUGGGCCAUGGAGCUAUGGGUAUGGCUUACCCCCUUUGGAGUUGUAG